This 28-nucleotide small RNA is filed under the name Bombyx mori (domestic silkworm). RNAcentral's name for it is "ovarian small RNA-37905". Lineage: Eukaryota; Metazoa; Arthropoda; Insecta; Lepidoptera; Bombycidae. The record is from RNAcentral.
UUGCUCAAUACAUUAUUGGAUUCAGUAA